RNAcentral lists this ribosomal RNA (254 nucleotides) under uncultured bacterium. RNAcentral describes it as "partial 16S ribosomal RNA". It matches the Rfam family "Bacterial small subunit ribosomal RNA", at positions 524 to 777 of the family's 1533-position model. The record is from RNAcentral.
UACAGAGGGUGCGAGCGUUAAUCGGAAUUACUGGGCGUAAAGCGCGCGUAGGCGGCUUUUCAAGUCGAUUGUGAAAUCCCCGGGCUUAACCUGGGAACUGCAGUCGAGACUGUCUAGCUAGAGUAUGGGAGAGGGAAGUGGAAUUCCAGGUGUAGCGGUGAAAUGCGUAGAUAUCUGGAGGAACACCGGUGGCGAAGGCGGCAUCCUGGACCAAUAUUGACGCUGAGGAGCGAAAGCCAGGGGAGCAAAGCAGG